GACGAACGCUGGCGGCGUGCUUAACACAUGCAAGUCGAACGGAAAGGCCCUGCUUUUGUGGGGUGCUCGAGUGGCGAACGGGUGAGUAACACGUGAGUAACCUGCCCUUGACUUUGGGAUAACUUCAGGAAACUGGGGCUAAUACCGGAUAGGAGCUCCUGCUGCAUGGUGGGGGUUGGAAAGUUUCGGCGGUUGGGGAUGGACUCGCGGCUUAUCAGCUUGUUGGUGGGGUAGUGGCUUACCAAGGCUUUGACGGGUAGCCGGCCUGGGAGGGUGACCGGCCCCAUUGGGACUGAGAUACGGCCCAGACUCCUACGGGAGGCAGCAGUGGGGAAUAUUGCACAAUGGGCGGAAGCCUGAUGCAGCAACGCCGCGUGCGGGAUGACGGCCUUCGGGUUGUAAACCGCUUUCGCCUGUGACGAAGCGUGGGUGACGGUAAUGGGUAAAGAAGCACCGGCUAACUACGUG
This 468-nucleotide ribosomal RNA is filed under the name uncultured bacterium. RNAcentral's name for it is "partial 16S ribosomal RNA". It matches the Rfam family "Bacterial small subunit ribosomal RNA", at positions 28 to 507 of the family's 1533-position model. The record is from RNAcentral.